Molecule: ribosomal RNA, 1331 nt
Filed under: metagenome
Description: bacterial LSU rRNA
Rfam family: Bacterial large subunit ribosomal RNA
Source: RNAcentral
UAGAAAAGCCUCUAAGCGAAGAAGUUCUGGCGUCCGUACCGCAGACCGACACAGGUGGGCAGGUAGAGGAUACCAAGGCGAACGGGAGAACCCUCGUUAAGGAAUUAGGCAAAUUAGCCCCGUAACUUCGGGAGAAGGGGCGCCUCUGGGGGUGAGCUAUAAGCAUAGGGAGCCCGUGGAGGCCGCAGAGGAAUGGCUCUAGUGACUGGUUACCAAAACCACAGGUCUCUGCAAACGCGGAAGCGGCAGUAUAGGGGCUGACACCUGCCCAGUGCCGGAAGGUUAAAGGGAGGGGUAAGCGGAAGCGAAGCUCUGAACUGAAGCCCCGGUGAACGGCGGCCGUAACGAUAACGGUCCUAAGGUAGCGAAAUUCCUUGUCGGGUAAGUUCCGACCCGCACGAAAGGUGUAACAACUAGAGCACUGUCUCAACGAGGGGCCCGGCGAAAUUGAACACGCGGUAAAGAUGCCGUGUACCCGCAGCAGGACAAAAAGACCCCGUGGAGCUUUACUGCAGUUUGGCACUGGAUUAGGGUUGCGUUUGUGUAGGAUAGGUGGGAGGCGGAGAAGCUGGGACGCGAGUUUCGGUGGAGCCGACGGUGAAAUACCACCCUGGCGCAACUUUGAUUCUAACCUAGGCCCGUGAACCGGGUUGGGGACCGUGCCAGGCGGGCAGUUUGACUGGGGUGGUCGCCUCCCAAAAGGUAACGGAGGCGCUCAAAGGUUCCCUCAGGUGGCAUGGAAACCCACCGGAGAGUGCAAAGGCAAAAGGGAGCUUGACUGUGAGGCUGACCAGCCGAGCAGGGACGCAAGUCGGACUUAGUGAUCCCACGGUACCGAGUGGAAGGGCCGUGGCUUACCGGAUAAAAGCUACCCCGGGGAUAACAGGGUGGUGAGGCCCAAGAGUUCACAUCGACGGCCUCGCUCGCCACCUCGAUGUCGGCUCGUCACAUCCUGGGGCUGGACAAGGUCCCAAGGGUUGGACUGUUCGUCCAUUAAAGUGGCACGCGAGCUGGGUUCAGACCGUCGUGAGACAGGUCGGUCUCUAUCCGCUGUGGGCGAAGGGGAUUUGAGGGGAGCUGCCUUCAGUACGAGAGGACCAGGGUGGACGGACCGCUGGUGUGCCAGUUGUGGCGCCAGCCGCAUUGCUGGGUAGCCAGGUCCGGCAGGGAUAACCGCUGAAAGCAUCUAAGUGGGAAGCCCGCCCCAAGAUGAGAUCCCCCACACCGGGAAGGUGGUAAGACCGCGGGAAGACGACCCGUUAGAUAGGCAGGGAGUGGAAGCGUUGUAAAGCGUGGAGCUAACCUGUACUAAAGGUCGAGGGCUUCUUCCG